RNAcentral lists this transfer RNA (77 nucleotides) under Candidatus Methylomirabilota bacterium. Its description in RNAcentral is "tRNA-Arg". It matches the Rfam family "tRNA". From Rfam's summary of the family: Transfer RNA (tRNA) molecules are approximately 80 nucleotides in length. Their secondary structure includes four short double-helical elements and three loops (D, anti-codon, and T loops). Further hydrogen bonds mediate the characteristic L-shaped molecular structure. tRNAs have two regions of fundamental functional importance: the anti-codon, which is responsible for specific mRNA codon recognition, and the 3' end, to which the tRNAs corresponding amino acid is attached (by aminoacyl-tRNA synthetases). tRNAs cope with the degeneracy of the genetic code in two manners: having more than one tRNA (with a specific anti-codon) for a particular amino acid; and 'wobble' base-pairing, i.e. permitting non-standard base-pairing at the 3rd anti-codon position. The record is from RNAcentral. Lineage: Bacteria; Methylomirabilota (SeqCode).
GCGCCCAUAGCUCAGCUGGAAAGAGCGCCGGACUUCGAAUCCGUAGGUCGCAGGUUCGAGCCCUGCUGGGCGCGCCA